CCCGCGCUCGCCCCAAGGCGCGGCUGCGGGGCGUGGGUACCUGCGCCCGCGCCACGGCGGCGUCUUCUGCCCCGGGGUCCUCGCAGGAAUUCCUCAGCCCCGGCCCCGACUCAGAAAGUGCGGCUCUCACGGCGAGCGAGCGGGAAACAGCCCAAAGUCCAGUACUUAAAGCAUGCUAUAUAGCACAUCUCAAUCUACAAAGACCAGAAUGACCCAAAUUAUAUGCUGGCCAAUUUGCUGGUGGAACAAAUCAAAGCUGACCAAUGACUGGUGAAUGGAGAAAGUGUUUACCUUUUGGCAAUUUGCUCUGGGGUUUAAAUAAAGUCCUGGCUGCUGUUAAUAAGAAAGCAGAUAUCUGAGAUUGUUUGAUGUGAUGUAGACCUUGAAAGAUGAGUCAAGAAGGACACUACAGGCAGAGAGGGAGCAGGAAGGUCAAGAAGAAGAUAUUAUGCUCAGAACACGUGGAUUGCCAGAGAGAAGAGCAUAUAGAAGAAACUGUGAAGAGUAAGGCCACAGACAAAGGUUGUGACCAGACGAGAAAGGCCCUUUUUUAAAAUGCUAAAAUAUUGAGAUUAUCUGUUGGGGGAAAACUGAAAUGAACGUAUUUUCAAGCUGUGGAAUGAGUUAAACAUUAAAUCUGUUAGGAUUGUGAAAUAAAAAGUCAUAAAUAAAACAAAA
This is a long non-coding RNA of Canis lupus familiaris (dog), 678 nucleotides long. RefSeq lists it as uncharacterized. The transcript has 3 exons. NCBI's taxonomy places the organism in Eukaryota, Metazoa, Chordata, Mammalia, Carnivora, Canidae. The record is from RefSeq and is a predicted model, not a curated record.